RNAcentral lists this ribosomal RNA (253 nucleotides) under uncultured bacterium. RNAcentral describes it as "partial 16S ribosomal RNA". It matches the Rfam family "Bacterial small subunit ribosomal RNA", at positions 524 to 776 of the family's 1533-position model. The record is from RNAcentral.
UACGUAGGGCGCAAGCGUUGUCCGGAAUUAUUGGGCGUAAAGAGCUCGUAGGUGGCUUGUCGCGUCUGCCGUGAAAGCCCAUGGCUUAACUGUGGGUCUGCGGUGGAUACGGGCUGGCUAGAGGUAGGUAGGGGCGUGUGGAAUUCCUGGUGGAGCGGUGAAAUGCGCAGAUAUCAGGAGGAACACCCGUAGCGAAGGCGGCAUCCUGGACCGAUAUUGACGCUGAGGCGCGAAAGCCAGGGGAGCAAACGGG